Molecule: ribosomal RNA, 222 nt
Filed under: uncultured bacterium
Lineage: Bacteria
Description: partial 16S ribosomal RNA
Rfam family: Bacterial small subunit ribosomal RNA
Source: RNAcentral
GAUCCUGGCUCAGGAUGAACGCUGGCGGCGUGCUUAGCACAUGCAAGUCGAACGGAGUGCUCUUGAUUGAGGAUUCGUCCAAAUGAUAGAGUUACUUAGUGGCGGACGGGUGAGUAACGCGUGAGUAACCUGCCUUGGAGUGGGGAAUAACACAGUGAAAAUUGUGCUAAUACCGCAUGAUAUAUCGGUACCGCAUGGUAGUGAUAUCAAAGAUUUAUCGCU